This 493-nucleotide ribosomal RNA is filed under the name uncultured bacterium. RNAcentral's name for it is "partial 16S ribosomal RNA". It matches the Rfam family "Bacterial small subunit ribosomal RNA", at positions 28 to 506 of the family's 1533-position model. The record is from RNAcentral.
GACGAACGCUGGCGGCGUGCUUAACACAUGCAAGUCGAACGGAAAGGCCUGCUUUCCCUCUCGGAUUGCGGGUACUCGAGUGGCGAACGGGUGAGUAACACGUGAGUGAUCUGCCCCCAACUUGGGGAUAAGCCUCGGAAACUGGUUCUAAUUCCGGCUAGGACUGCAGGGUGGUGCCUGUGGAGGAAACCGACUUUUUAGUGGUUCGGUAUGGGCUCGCGGCCUAGUAGCUUGUUGGGGGGGUAAUGGCCGACCAAGGCGGCGGCGGGUAGCCGAGGGGAGAGGGUGGACGGGGAAAUUGGGACUGAGACACGCCCCAGACUCAGGCGGGAGGAGGGAGUGGGGGACAAUGCGCAAAGGGCGGAAGCAUGAUGCCGGGACGCCGCGUGGAGGAUGACGGGCUGUGAAUUGCAAACUUCUGUCAAGCGCGCUGAAGCGACCUGGUUGGAAGGGUAGUGAGGGUAGUAGUAGAAGAAGCACCGGCAAACUCGGU